RNAcentral lists this non-coding RNA (23 nucleotides) under Cricetulus griseus (Chinese hamster). The record is from RNAcentral. Lineage: Eukaryota; Metazoa; Chordata; Mammalia; Rodentia; Cricetidae.
AGGAACUGCAGCCUGGCCACCGG